Molecule: long non-coding RNA, 460 nt
Filed under: Marmota monax (woodchuck)
Lineage: Eukaryota; Metazoa; Chordata; Mammalia; Rodentia; Sciuridae
Source: RNAcentral
GUUAUAAGGGCAGUAAUAAUUUGUGUGUUCCCUAUUUCCACCCCAAGCUUUAGAAGGAAUAGAAAGAUAACAAAAGCUACUCAUAACACCACCAUAGAUGACUAUUUAACAUUUUGUCAGGCAUUCCUUUGGUCUUUGAAUUUUUUAUUUACUAAACUAAAAGUUAAUUUGAAACUGUGUUAGGAUGUCUAUAUCUUCAAAACUUAUUCCAAAUAUAAUUUGUCUCAAUACCAUUGUUUUAUAUAAGAUGAUAAUAGUAGUCAUGUAAUUGGUAUCUUUGCUUUAACUUUUCCCCUGGCUGCUCCUCUGGACAACAAUAAUUUUAAAAUAUGUAUAUUAGAUUAUCAUCUUCCCAGGCUCAAACCCCUUCUGUGGUUUUUAAAAACACAAAAUAAAGUUCGAACUCUUUAUUGUGGUUUGUAUACACUUGACUGGUUGAGCCAAUAAAAAUAGUGCAAAC